RNAcentral lists this ribosomal RNA (253 nucleotides) under uncultured Sphingobium sp. Its description in RNAcentral is "partial 16S ribosomal RNA". It matches the Rfam family "Bacterial small subunit ribosomal RNA", at positions 524 to 776 of the family's 1533-position model. The record is from RNAcentral. Lineage: Bacteria; Pseudomonadati; Pseudomonadota; Alphaproteobacteria; Sphingomonadales; Sphingobiaceae.
UACGGAGGGGGCUAGCGUUGUUCGGAAUUACUGGGCGUAAAGCGCACGUAGGCGGCUAUGUAAGUCAGAGGUGAAAGCCCAGGGCUCAACCUUGGAACUGCCUUUGAGACUGCAUGGCUUGAAUCACGGAGAGGUGGGUGGAAUUCCGAGUGUAGAGGUGAAAUUCGUAGAUAUUCGGAAGAACACCAGUGGCGAAGGCGGCCCACUGGACGUGUAUUGACGCUGAGGUGCGAAAGCGUGGGGAGCAAACAGG